GACCUUUUCAAAACACCAGCUAUGAACAAACUUUAACCCUAAAAACGUAAGGCUCCUUUUAAGUUUAAACACAUCUAAAUAACAAGUAGUUAAUCUUCAGUAUCAGCAAUUACCAGAAAUCAAACUACUUAGUACUAUAAUUGUAUGGCACUUACAAGGAAAAACCCAGACACCAAAAUUUCUCAAAUCUUUAUAUAAUGAAUAUGGAGACCAAACCCACAUGAACUAAAAUGCGAAGCAAACUGAGAAAAGGAUGGAAAAGAAAUUUGAACCAUUUCUCGAUUUGUGCGUGUCAUCCUUGCGCAGGGGCCAUACUAAUCUUCUCUGUAUCGUUCCAAUUUUAUCGGAUGUCCCCGAAGGGACAACGCCUGUGGGCCGCUGCUUCCAUAUAAACGCUUUUGCUGGUAUGUUCCUAAUUGAUGUGGGAUAUCUAGUUGGUUCGCAACUAAACAUGAACUAGGCUACCUCAUCCUGACCAAGUCACGUGGGCUGGUUUAGACAUCAAAAUAAAAGCCAUGGGCUUGUGGUGGUAGAGUGGGACCCUUUGUUUAAACAUGGGCUGCUCACUUAACCUAAGAGACGAAACUUUAAUGGUUGCAUUAGUAAAUAAUAUUUAGUGUGGCUUAGGUUACUUUUUAAGCAUGAUUUGCUGGUAUUGCUCAUGGUUUGAUACAUCCCCAACUAGUGCCGUCAUAGGAAAAAAAAUGAGAAUAAGUUGAUGGCAGUUCCCAACUAUCCAGUUAAAAUAAUUAAGACAAAAAUAAUCAUUUUAUGAUAAUUUUGAACAGAUGUAUUUAGGGAACAAUUCAUUUUUACAUAAUUACAAACUUUGCAUAUUGGGUCUGAUUUCACAAGUAGAAAAAGUGAAAGACAAACAUUGAUGGCUUAGCCACUUGCCGUAUUUUGGGUCUUCAAUUCCUUUGGAUGAUGAACUCACUCAGCUCAUCUGCUUCUUUUUGACUGCCGUUUUUUCCUUCUCUCUAGUUCCACAGCAAUGCAUUAAUGGGGGACAUCUUAGAAUACAGGAUUACUGAUUCGGUUCGGCCACAGCAAACCAUCUUCAAAAUAUUUCACCUCAUUCAGACAGUCAAUCCCUCUUUUUUAUCUUCGCCUUCUGUUGUUGCAUUGUGUAUUUCAGCCGCAGAUUUUAUCUUCAAUCUGUAGCUUGACUGAGA
RNAcentral lists this long non-coding RNA (1175 nucleotides) under Gossypium barbadense (sea-island cotton). RNAcentral's name for it is "long non-coding RNA (GBAR_LNC004626)". Lineage: Eukaryota; Viridiplantae; Streptophyta; Magnoliopsida; Malvales; Malvaceae. The record is from RNAcentral.